Molecule: ribosomal RNA, 440 nt
Filed under: uncultured bacterium
Lineage: Bacteria
Description: partial 16S ribosomal RNA
Rfam family: Bacterial small subunit ribosomal RNA
Source: RNAcentral
CCUACGGGCGGCAGCAGUGGGGAAUAUUGCACAAUGGGGGAAACCCUGAUGCAGCGACGCCGCGUGAGUGAAGAAGUAUUUCGGUAUGUAAAGCUCUAUCAGCAGGGAAGAAAAUGACGGUACCUGAUUAAGAAGCCCCGGCUAACUACGUGCCAGCAGCCGAGGUAAUACGUAGGGGGCAAGCGUUAUCCGGAUUUACUGGGUGUAAAGGGAUCGUAGACGGCAGCGCAAGUCUGAAGUGAAAGGGCGGGGCGUAACCCUGUACAUGCUUUUGGAACUGUGGUGCUAGAGUGCAGGAGAGGUAAGUGGAAUUCCUAGUGUAGCGGUGAAAUGCGUAGAUAUUAGGAGGAACACCAGUGGCGAAGGCGGCUUACUGGACUGUAACUGACGUUGAGGCUCGAAAGCGUGGGGAGCAAACAGGAUUAGAUACCCUAGUAGUC